GAGUAACGCGUGAGGAACCUGCCUCAAAGAGGGGGACAACAGUUGGAAACGACUGCUAAUACCGCAUAAGCCCACGGGUCGGCAUCGACCUGAGGGAAAAGGAGUGAUCCGCUUUGAGAUGGCCUCGCGUCCGAUUAGCUAGUUGGUGAGGUAAUGGCCCACCAAGGCGACGAUCGGUAGCCGGACUGAGAGGUUGAACGGCCACAUUGGGACUGAGACACGGCCCAGACUCCUACGGGAGGCAGCAGUGGGGAAUAUUGCACAAUGGGGGAAACCCUGAUGCAGCGACGCCGCGUGGAGGAAGAAGGUCUUCGGAUUGUAAACUCCUGUUGUUGAGGAAGAUAAUGACGGUACUCAACAAGGAAGUGACGGCUAACUACGUGCCAGCAGCCGCGGUAAAACGUAGGUCACAAGCGUUGUCCGGAAUUACUGGGUGUAAAGGGAGCGCAGGCGGGAAGACAAGUUGGAAGUGAAAUCUAUGGGCUCAACCCAUAAACUGCUUUCAAAACUGUUUUUCUUGAGUAGUGCAGAGGUAGGCGGAAUUCCCGGUGUAGCGGUGGAAUGCGUAGAUAUCGGGAGGAACACCGGUGGCGAAGGCGGCCUACUGGGCACCAACUGACGCUGAGGCUCGAAAGUGUGGGUAGCAAACAGGAUUAGAUACCCUGGUAGUCCACACCGUAAACGAUGAUUACUAGGUGUUGGAGGAUUGACCCCUUCAGUGCCGCAGUUAACACAAUAAGUAAUCCACCUGGGG
Molecule: ribosomal RNA, 754 nt
Filed under: uncultured bacterium
Lineage: Bacteria
Description: bacterial SSU rRNA
Rfam family: Bacterial small subunit ribosomal RNA
Source: RNAcentral